AGAUGGCGACCGGCGCACGGGUGAGUAACACGUAUCCAACCUGCCGAUAACUCGGGGAUAGCCUUUCGAAAGAAAGAUUAAUACCCGAUGGUAUAAUCAGACCGCAUGGUCUUGUUAUUAAAGAAUUUCGGUUAUCGAUGGGGAUGCGUUCCAUUAGGCAGUUGGUGAGGUAACGGCUCACCAAACCUUCGAUGGAGUAGGGGUUCUGAGAGGAACGGUCCCCCACAUUGGAACUGAGACACGGUCCAA
RNAcentral lists this ribosomal RNA (249 nucleotides) under uncultured bacterium. RNAcentral describes it as "partial 16S ribosomal RNA". It matches the Rfam family "Bacterial small subunit ribosomal RNA", at positions 86 to 334 of the family's 1533-position model. The record is from RNAcentral.